GGGACCGACAUGGUUUCGACGUGGAUUACAAAGCAUCAAGGGCAUACCGAGGACCCGUUAUCUCGUAAAUCAAUGGGAAUGUAAUAACUGCAAACGACGAACGU
This 104-nucleotide transfer-messenger RNA is filed under the name Polynucleobacter sp. 35-46-11. RNAcentral describes it as "partial transfer-messenger RNA". It matches the Rfam family "transfer-messenger RNA", at positions 1 to 107 of the family's 374-position model. From Rfam's summary of the family: Bacterial tmRNA, also known as 10Sa RNA or SsrA, is named for its dual tRNA and mRNA-like properties. Lineage: Bacteria; Pseudomonadati; Pseudomonadota; Betaproteobacteria; Burkholderiales; Burkholderiaceae. RNAcentral also lists the same sequence under 1 other name. The record is from RNAcentral.